GACGAACGCUGGCGGCGUGCUUAACACAUGCAAGUCGAACGAAGAGCGACGGAAGCUUGCUUCUGUCAAUCUUAGUGGCGGACGGGUGAGUAACGCGUAAUCAACCUGCCCUUCAGAGGGGGACAACAGAUGGAAACGACUACUAAUACCACAUACGACCUAAUCUCGGCAUCGAGGAGGGAUGAAAGGUGGCCUCUACAUGUAAGCUAUCACUGAAGGAGGGGAUUGCGUCUGAUUAGCUAGAUGGAGGGGUAGCGGCGCACCAAGGCGAUGAUCAGUAGCCGGUCUGCGAGGAUGGACGGCCAGACUGAGACUGAGACACGGCCCAGACUGAUACGGGAGGCAGCAGUGGGGAAUCUUCCGGCAUGGGCGAAAGUCUGUCGGAGCAACGCCGCGGGCGUGAUGACGGCCGUCGGGUUGUAAAGCUCUGUUAUUCGGGACGAAAGGCCUUCUUGCGAAGAGGGAGAAGGAUUGACGGUACCGGAAUAGAAAGCCACGGCUAACUACGUG
This 510-nucleotide ribosomal RNA is filed under the name uncultured bacterium. Its description in RNAcentral is "partial 16S ribosomal RNA". It matches the Rfam family "Bacterial small subunit ribosomal RNA", at positions 28 to 507 of the family's 1533-position model. The record is from RNAcentral.